RNAcentral lists this long non-coding RNA (272 nucleotides) under Elaeis guineensis (African oil palm). Its description in RNAcentral is "long non-coding RNA (EGUI_LNC036599)". Lineage: Eukaryota; Viridiplantae; Streptophyta; Magnoliopsida; Arecales; Arecaceae. The record is from RNAcentral.
GCUCUGCAACUCGUUUGACAUAGAAGCUAGAACAUAGCACUUCAUUCUAAAGUCAUCAUUCAUCCACUUGUCCAGAGUAGCUCUUUGCUCUGCUGUAAGAUGGGUUGGUAAGACUAAGACGUCCUAAUCGAGUACAUACUCAAUCUUUUCGAAUGUCAGGACUAUCAUGAGAUUUUUGAGCCAGUCCUUAUAACUUGUACCAGUAAGUCGAUUGGUUUCAAGGAUAUAGGUUAGUGAGUUAAAGGCCCACAUUGUUUAUCUAUGAAAGUAGA